CGUGGCUUUAGUCUUCAUUGGGUUCUAUGCGGUUGGGCGGGGCUUAAGGAAGGGGGCGUGGCUUCAAGUCCCUUUGAGUUGCAUGGGGUGGGCGGGGCUUAAAGAAGGCCGGAAGUGGACGGGAACGAAUGAAUUGGGGGGAGUGGCUUCUGGACGGAAGUGAUCCAGGGGGCGUGGCUUAAAGCUCUCGAUCCCAUUGGUCGUUAUGUCAGUGGGCGUGGCUCUGAGACAGAGUAGGCGUGGCCAAAGCCCCCAUUUUCCGUAUGGGUUGGGCAGGCCGGAAGUGGGCAACAAUGGAUGAAUGAAUUAAUGAAUGAAGGGGCGUGGCUUCUGACCGGAAGUGAGCCAGGGGGCGUGGUCUAAAGGCCUCGACCCCAUUGGGCCUUUUGUCAGCUGAGGGAAAAGGGGGCGUGGCCAAAGUCCCAUUCUACGUAUCGGUCGGGCAGGCCGGAAGUGGGCGGGAACGAAUGAAUGAAGGGGCGUGGCUUCUGACCGGAAGUGAGCCCGGAGGCGUGGCUUAAAGGCCUCGGCCCCAUUGGGCUCUGAGGCAAAGUGGGCGUGGCCAAAACCCCCCCAUUCUGCCUACGGGGUGGAAGUGAGAGGGGAAUGAAUGAAGAAGGGGGAAGUUGGGGGCGUGGUUUCCGGCCGGAAGUUGGAGGUAACACCGGUCCCGCCCCCUUCCUUCCGUCAUGGCCGCAGUGUACGACGUGCUGACGGGCGCCACCGUGCGGAGGUUGGCUCAUCCCGGCGGCUGCGUCCGCGAUGUCUGCUGGCAUCCGGCCGGGGGGCGGCUCGUCAGCGCCUCGGUACGUCCUUGGGGAGGGACUUCCGGUUGGGAAAAGAGGGGGAGGGAAGACGGCUUCCGGUUUGGUGGGUUUGGGAUGGGACGAUUUCCGGUUUGGGGAAGUGGGAAAGAGGGACUUCCGGUUUGGGGGUUGGGGGGUGGAGACGACUUCCGGUUGAGGGUGUUGGAGGGUGGACUUCCGGUUUUGGGGUUGGGAAUGGGGACGACUUCCUGUUCGGGGGUGUGAGAGGGAGGGACUUCCGGUGUGUGUGUUGGGGGGAUGGGACGACUUCCGGUUUUCGGAGGUGUUGGAAGGGGGGACAUCCGGUUUGGGAGAGGAGUGGGGUGACUAUGGGGUGGUUAUGGGGCUCUGUGAGUCUCUAUGGGUCCCUAUGGGAUCUGUGGGUCUCUAUGGGGUUCUAUGGGAUCUGUGGGUCUCUAUGGGUUUCUAUGGGUCCCUAUGGGGCUCUAUGGGUCUCUAUGGGUCCCUAUGGGAUCUGUGGGUCUCUCUGGGGCUCUAUGGGUCCCUAUGGGGCUCUAUGGGGCUCUAUGGGUCCCUAUGGGAUCUGUGGGUCUCUAUGGGUCUCUAUGGGUCCCUAUGGGAUCUGUGGGUCUCUAUGGGAUCUAUGGGUCCCUAUGGGGUCGGUAUGGGUCUCUAUGGGAUCUGUGGGUCUCUAUGGGAUCUAUGGGUCUCUGUGGGUCUUUAUGGGGUCUAUGAGGUUCCUAUGGGUCCCUAUGGGGUCUUUAUUGAAUCUAUGGGGUCUCUAUGGGUCUGUAUGGGUUUUUUUUGGUGUCCCUAUGGGUCCCUGUGGGUCUCCGUGGGUCUCUAUGGGGUCCCUAUGGGUCUCUAUGGGGUUUUAUGGGUUCCUAUGGGUCCCUAUGUGUCCCUAUGGAUCUUUAUGGGUCUCUAUGGGGUUUUUUUGGUGUUCCUAUGGGUCUCUAUGGGGCCUAUGGGGUCUCUAUGGGUCCCUAUGGGAUCUAUGGGUCUCUAUGGCAUCUAUGGGUCCCUAUGGGGUCUCUAUGGGGCUCUAUGGGAUCUGUGGGUCUCUAUGGGUCUCUAUGGGGUUUUAUGGGUUCCUAUGGGUCCCUAUGGGUCCCUAUGGAUCUUUAUGGGUCUCUGUGGGGUUUUUUUGGUGUCCCUAUGGGUCCCUAUCCUUCUCUAUGGGUCUUUAUGGGAUCUAUGGGGCUCUAUGGGCUCUCUAUGGGCUCUCUAUGGGAUCUGUGGGUCUCUAUGGGGUCCCUGUGGGGCUCUAUGGGAUCUACGGGUCUCUAUGGGUCUCUAUGGGUCUCUGUGGGUCCCUAUGGGUCCCUAUGGGAUCUGUGGGUCUCUGUGGGUCCCUAUGGGUCUGUAUGGGGUCUCUAUGGGAUCUAUGGGUCCCUAUGGGUCUCUAUGGGGUCUUUAUGGGAUCUAUGGGUCUCUAUGGGUCUCUAUGGGGCCCUGUGGGUCUGUAUGGGGCUCUAUGGGUCCCUAUGGGGCUGUAUGGGAUCCCUAUGGGUCUCUAUGGGAUCUGUGGGUCCCUAUGGGUCUCUAUGGGUCCCUAUGGGUCUCUGUGGGUCUCUAUGGGGCUCUAUGGAGCUCUAUGGGGUCUCUAUGGGGUCUCUAUGGGAUCUGUGAGUCUCUAUGGGGCUCUAUGGGAUCUGUGGGUCUUUAUAGGGUCUCUAUGGGGCUCUAAGGGUCCCUGUGGGUCUUUAUGGGGCUCUGUGGGUCUCUAUGGGAUCUGUGGGUCCCUAUGGGUCUCUGUGGGUCUCUAUGGGGCUGUAUGGGAUCUAUGGGGUCUCUAUGGGAUCUGUGGGUCCCUAUGUGUCCCUAUGGGUCUCUAUGGGGUUUCUAUGGGUCCCUCUGUGGUCUCUAUGGGAUCUGUGGGUCCCUAUGGGUCUCAAUGGGAUGUGUGGGUCACUAUGGGUCUGUAUGGGGUCUCUAUGGGAUCUGUGGGUCUCUAUGGGAUCUAUGGGGUCUAUGGGUCCCUAUGGGUCUCUGUGGGGCUCUAUGGGUCCCUAUGGGUCCCUAUGGGUCUCUGUGGGGCUCUAUGGGAUCUAUGGGGUCUA
Phasianus colchicus (ring-necked pheasant) is the source of this 2830-nucleotide long non-coding RNA. The record is from Ensembl. Lineage: Eukaryota; Metazoa; Chordata; Aves; Galliformes; Phasianidae.